Molecule: long non-coding RNA, 372 nt
Organism: Onychostoma macrolepis
Lineage: Eukaryota; Metazoa; Chordata; Actinopteri; Cypriniformes; Cyprinidae
Exons: 3
Source: RefSeq, a predicted model, not a curated record
CCCUAUUUUGCUGUAUGACAACCGCUCUUUAAAAAGUGUGAUAAGAGCUCUGUCUGUUGUUUUUGUUAGUUCAGAGUGAUCAGUCAUAUGACAUUUACAGCUCAAGUGAUUGGUUGAACAAAUGUGUUCCUGGAACUGAAUGCCCUGAGCAAAGAUGGCAGCAAACAGGCGGUGUGCUUCCAAGGAAUCCUGUGCCAGUCAAGUAAUUGCCAGAGAUAAAUGGAAAUGCUAAUGGAUAUCUUUCUCCAGGAUGUGGACUUUGGAAACUAAAUGUCUACUCAUCAUGUGUGGCAUGCUGUCAAUUACCACAGAUGAUAAUUUUAACUUGAAAUGUGUUUUGCGGUCAGAAUACUUAUAAUGAAAGCCUAGCAG